AUUGAACGCUAGCGGGAUGCUUUACACAUGCAAGUCGAACGGCAGCGCGGACUUCGGUCUGGCGGCGAGUGGCGAACGGGUGAGUAAUGUAUCGGAACGUGCCCAGUAGCGGGGGAUAACUACGCGAAAGCGUAGCUAAUACCGCAUACGCCCUACGGGGGAAAGCAGGGGAUCGUAAGACCUUGCCCUAUUGGAGCGGCCGAUAUCGGAUUAGCUAGUUGGUGGGGUAACGGCUCACCAAGCCGACGAUCCGUGGCUGGUGUGAGAGGACGACCAGCCACACUGGGGCUGGGACACGGCCCAGACUCCUACGGGAGGCAGCAGUGGGGAAUUUUGGACAAUGGGGGCAACCCUGAUCCAGCCAUCCCGCGUGUGAGAUGAAGGCCUUCGGGUUGUAAAGAACUUUUGGCAGGAAAGAAACGUCGCGGGCUAAUACCCCGUGGAACUGACGGUACCUGCAGAAUAAGCACCGGCUAACUACGUG
Molecule: ribosomal RNA, 484 nt
Filed under: uncultured bacterium
Lineage: Bacteria
Description: partial 16S ribosomal RNA
Rfam family: Bacterial small subunit ribosomal RNA
Source: RNAcentral